RNAcentral lists this long non-coding RNA (238 nucleotides) under Dasypus novemcinctus (nine-banded armadillo). Its description in RNAcentral is "lncRNA (ENSDNOG00000050943.1)". The record is from RNAcentral. Lineage: Eukaryota; Metazoa; Chordata; Mammalia; Cingulata; Dasypodidae.
CAACUGAUUUUAUUUAAUGGGCAUUUUUGUGCUGUUGUUUUUCUUUUUAGAUUUUGUUGAGCUGAUCCAAGAUAACUUGUGACUGCUGGCUUGAACCAAGAUUCUUCAUCUUGUCUCUAAACGAGGAAAUAUUGAUUGGGAGCUACUCAUUCAGAAAAUUAAAAGGUACCACACGUUUUGUUUGAAUGUUUAUAUGAGGGAAAAUCAGGGAGGAAUUGAAAUGUUUUUGUUUAAAUUA